GUGAGGAAUAUUGGUCAAUGGGCGGGAGCCUGAACCAGCCAAGUCGCGUGAAGGAAGAAGGAUCUAUGGUUCGUAAACUUCUUUUGCAGGGGAAUAAAGUGCAGGACAUGUCCUGUUUUGUAUGUACCCUGAGAAUAAGGAUCGGCUAACUCCGUGCCAGCAGCCGCGGUAAUACGGAGGAUCCGAGCGUUAUCCGGAUUUAUUGGGUUUAAAGGGUGCGUAGGUGGUUUGAUAAGUCAGCGGUGAAAGUUUGCAGCUUAACUGUAAAAAUGCCGUUGAAACUGUCGGACUUGAGUGUAAAUGAGGUAGGCGGAAUGCGUGGUGUAGCGGUGAAAUGCAUAGAUAUCACGCAGAACUCCGAUUGCGAAGGCAGCUUACUAAGCUACAACUGACACUGAAGCACGAAAGCGUGGGGAUCAAACAGGAUUAGAAACCCUAGUAGUCC
This 445-nucleotide ribosomal RNA is filed under the name uncultured bacterium. RNAcentral's name for it is "partial 16S ribosomal RNA". It matches the Rfam family "Bacterial small subunit ribosomal RNA", at positions 354 to 796 of the family's 1533-position model. The record is from RNAcentral.